Non-coding RNA from Phrynosoma platyrhinos (Desert horned lizard), 72 nucleotides. The record is from the annotation of a GenBank genome assembly. NCBI's taxonomy places the organism in Eukaryota, Metazoa, Chordata, Lepidosauria, Squamata, Phrynosomatidae.
GCCAGUGUGGUGUAGUGGUUUGAAUGUUGGACUAUGGCUCUGGAGAUCAGGGUUUGAUUCCUUGCUUAGCCA